GAUACCAUAAAAAACAAAGUGUUUGGAACGGAUAUCAACAAUAAUUCCAGUAAAAUCACAUUUUUCGAUAAUAUAUAGGCUUCUAUUGUUACCGGGAGCUGGAUGCAGCUUGGGAUCCAUGACAGCGACAACACUGAGCUGCGACAAACUGAGACCACUUAGCGCUGCUGUGUAUUGGCCCUGCAUGUCGCCUAUCACUGCGUUGUGGUCGUCUCGCAGCCACAGCAGGCGGUGAUCCAGGUAGCAAAGUGGACCUGCAACAACACAGUUCAGUUAUUACACCUAUAUGGGUCUUCUAAGGCAAUCGGCUGUUGGAGCAUGGAACAGAGUCGAUCCUUCAUAGCUACGAACUAUCCAGUAGACACCCUGGUGAUCCACGUCCAAAGUUAGGCCCAUUACUGC
Molecule: long non-coding RNA, 402 nt
Filed under: Nilaparvata lugens (brown planthopper)
Lineage: Eukaryota; Metazoa; Arthropoda; Insecta; Hemiptera; Delphacidae
Description: uncharacterized LOC120352538, transcript variant X1
Source: RNAcentral